This 301-nucleotide ribosomal RNA is filed under the name uncultured bacterium. Its description in RNAcentral is "partial 16S ribosomal RNA". It matches the Rfam family "Bacterial small subunit ribosomal RNA", at positions 509 to 807 of the family's 1533-position model. The record is from RNAcentral.
CAGUCGCCGCGGUAAAACGAAGGGGGCUAGCGUUGCUCGGAAUGACUGGGCGUAAAGGGCGCGUAGGCGGAUUGUUUAGUUAGGCGUGAAAUUCCUGGGCUUAACCUGGGGACUGCGCUUAAUACAGGCAGUCUAGAGUGAGGAAGAGGGUUGUGGAAUUCCCAGUGUAGAGGUGAAAUUCGUAGAUAUUGGGAAGAACACCGGUGGCGAAGGCGGCAACCUGGUCCUUGACUGACGCUGAGGCGCGAAAGCGUGGGGAGCAAACAGGAUUAGAUACCCCCGUAGUCCCUGUCUCUUAUAC